Non-coding RNA from Parelaphostrongylus tenuis, 71 nucleotides. The record is from the annotation of a GenBank genome assembly. NCBI's taxonomy places the organism in Eukaryota, Metazoa, Nematoda, Chromadorea, Rhabditida, Metastrongylidae.
GCGUCGGUAGUGCAACGGUAGCGUACGCUCCCGGAAAGAGUGAGAUCUGGGUUCGAAUCCCGGCUGAAGUA